Molecule: long non-coding RNA, 595 nt
Filed under: Struthio camelus australis
Lineage: Eukaryota; Metazoa; Chordata; Aves; Struthioniformes; Struthionidae
Description: lncRNA (ENSSCUG00000010685.1)
Source: RNAcentral
CUGACUUAGACUCUAAGGCAGACUCAGAAAUACAAUGUCCCUGCCCUGGACUCAGCGGUCUAGAAGACUAUUCUCCUUUUUACGUUUCCAUUCUUUAUUAGAAGUCCACAGUCAUCUUUUGGGGCAUAACACUCAGGCCCAAAAAGGAAAGUUAAAAAAGCAAAAAGCCACAAGGUCACAUGGGCGACUAUUCUUUCUGGAAAGGCUUUUACAGAUACCUGAUCAAGGGGAAAAAAAACCACGCAGCUUAUCAAGCCAUAAGUUAUAAGGACAUCUAGCCAGAAGAGGACAAUCUCUGAAUGGGCUUUUGGAAGAUAGCUUGGCUGGCAGAAAGGAAGUGACAGCAGCGUUCCAGAGUCUGCGCACGUUGUGUUUGCUGCUUGUAUCAGGAGUAGCCCUGAGCCCCGAAAUUUCUGGGAGGAUUUACUGUUCUCAGGGAGUGCCAGUGAGAGUGGACUCCAAGCGGGAGACCCGAAGGCUCUUUCCAGAAGGCAAAGAUUCAAAUGUGGAUGUUCUCAUUUAUAGGCUGACUUUUUUAUUAAGCCUUUGCUAAAAGGUAUAGUUUUAGUACUUCUAACAGUAGCAGAAGUAGUAG